CUGCGGAGGGAUCAUUACACAAAUAUGAAGGCGGGCUGGAACCUCUCGGGGUUACAGCCUUGCUGAAUUAUUCACCCUUGUCUUUUGCGUACUUCUUGUUUCCUUGGUGGGUUCGCCCACCACUAGGACAAACAUAAACCUUUUGUAAUUGCAAUCAGCGUCAGUAACAAAUUAAUAAUUACAACUUUCAACAACGGAUCUCUUGGUUCUGGCAUCGAUGAAGAACGCAGCGAAAUGCGAUAAGUAGUGUGAAUUGCAGAAUUCAGUGAAUCAUCGAAUCUUUGAACGCACAUUGCGCCCUUUGGUAUUCCAAAGGGCAUGCCUGUUCGAGCGUCAUUUGUACCCUCAAGCUUUGCUUGGUGUUGGGCGUCUUGUCUCUAGCUUUGCUGGAGACUCGCCUUAAAGUAAUUGGCAGCCGGCCUACUGGUUUCGGAGCGCAGCACAAGUCGCACUCUCUAUCAGCAAAGGUCUAGCAUCCAUUAAGCCUUUUUUUCAACUUUUGACCUCGGAUCAGGUAGGGAUACCCGCUGAACUUAAGCAUAUCA
RNAcentral lists this ribosomal RNA (545 nucleotides) under Alternaria sp. RNAcentral describes it as "eukaryotic LSU rRNA". The stretch from base 183 to 336 matches the Rfam family "5.8S ribosomal RNA". Lineage: Eukaryota; Fungi; Ascomycota; Dothideomycetes; Pleosporales; Pleosporaceae. The record is from RNAcentral.